This 99-nucleotide ribosomal RNA is filed under the name uncultured bacterium. Its description in RNAcentral is "partial 16S ribosomal RNA". It matches the Rfam family "Bacterial small subunit ribosomal RNA", at positions 392 to 508 of the family's 1533-position model. The record is from RNAcentral.
CAACGCCGCGUGGAGGAUGAAGCCCCUUGGGGCGUAAACUCCUUUCGAUGGGGACGAUAAUGACGGUACCCGAGGAAGAAGCACCGGCUAACUCUGUGC